This 785-nucleotide long non-coding RNA is filed under the name Equus caballus (horse). RNAcentral's name for it is "lncRNA (ENSECAG00000047908.1)". The record is from RNAcentral. Lineage: Eukaryota; Metazoa; Chordata; Mammalia; Perissodactyla; Equidae.
GAAUCCUUCAGAUUAUAACACGUGGACUUUCUCUUUAGCUCUCACAUCACCAAAUAGAUCUGCUCUUCCCGCCUCCCCCCCAAUUUUUUGUGGUAAAACACAUAUAACACAAAAUUUGCUAUUUGAACCAUCUUUAAGUAUACUGUCAGUGGUAUUAAUCACACUUGCAAUGUUGUACAACUGUCAUCACUAUCUAAUUUAAAAACUUGUUCAUCACUCUGCAAAGGAACUCGGCAACCAUUAAGCAAUAACUCCUAUUCCCAGCUCAUGGCAACCUGUAAUCUACUUUGUGUCUAUUAACUUGCCUAUUCUCAAUAUUUCAUAAAAUUUUAUCAUAGCAUUUGUCCUUUUGUGGCCGGCUUAUUUCACUUGGAAUAACUUUCUCAAGGUUUAUGUUGUAACAAUAUGUUAACGCCUCCAUUCAUUUUUCUAGCUGAAUAAUGUUUGCAUAUCAAGUUUUAUCUACUCAUCUGUUGGAUACUGGGAUUGUUUCCACGUCUUGGCUCUUGUGAAUAAUGCUGCAUUGAACCUCAGUGUACAGGACUAAAUACGGCGCAUUCUUAUCACCCCGGGGCAUGUGCCCCUCACAGAGCCCGGAGAAUCUCCAAGGAGUUACCAUCCCUUUGGAUCUGAGUUCACUCUUCUAGAACAAUUCCUGCCUAUAAAGAGUGGUCUUUGGGACCGCAGAGAAGAGGAUCCAGUCUUUGCGUUGAGGGAGACCUCUGACACGGUCUGAGAUUCAAACUUUGAGAGGGGAGCCUACCUACUCAAACUUGGAGAGGAAC